AGGUUACGUCAAGACUCAAGGCUAUUAACCUUAAGCUUUUCUUCUCUACUGAAAGUGCUUUACAACCCGCAGGCCUUCUUCACACACGCGGCAUUGCUGGAUCAGGCUUGCGCCCAUUGUCCAAUAUUCCCCA
RNAcentral lists this ribosomal RNA (133 nucleotides) under uncultured bacterium. RNAcentral's name for it is "partial 16S ribosomal RNA". The record is from RNAcentral.